UGGGGAAUAUUGCACAAGGGGCGAAAGCCUGAUGCAGCGACGCCUCUUGAGGUAUGACGGCCUUCGGGUUUUAAACCUCUUUCAGGAGGGACGAAGUGCAAGUUACGGUACCUGCAGAAUAAUCACCGGCUAACUAUGUGCCAGCAGCCGCGGUAAUAUGUAGGUUGCGAGCGUUGUCCGGAAUUACUGGGCGUAAAGAGCUGGUAGGCGGUUUGUCACGUCGUCUGUGAAAUCCUAGGGCUUAACCCUGGACGUGCAGGCGAUACGGGCUGACUUGAGUACUACAGGGGAGACUGGAAGUUCUGGUGUGGCGGUGGAAUGCACAGAUAUCAGGAAGAACACCAAUGGCGAAGGCAGGUCUCUGGGUAGUAACUGACGCUGAGGAGCGAAAGCAUGGGUAGCGAACAGG
This 409-nucleotide ribosomal RNA is filed under the name bacterium. RNAcentral describes it as "partial 16S ribosomal RNA". It matches the Rfam family "Bacterial small subunit ribosomal RNA", at positions 355 to 776 of the family's 1533-position model. The record is from RNAcentral.